Camellia sinensis is the source of this 567-nucleotide non-coding RNA. NCBI's taxonomy places the organism in Eukaryota, Viridiplantae, Streptophyta, Magnoliopsida, Ericales, Theaceae. The record is from RefSeq and is a predicted model, not a curated record.
CUCUCUCAUCUUUUGCCUUCAUCAGAGCUCCCGUGGAUCACUCUGACCACUCUUACCGUUGUUCACUCCGGCUGCGACAUCACUUCGGCUGCUCGACAUCCUGUUCGGAAUUCUGAUUGAAGCCUAAUGGAUAAGCCGACUGAUCCUCCAAAACGCCCGAUCACUCCAUUCAUUUUCUUUUGCCAAGAACAAUCAAUGGAGUUAAAAAAAACCCAAAUGAAAGUAGACGUGAAGGAUAUUGGGGACAAAUGGAAUCAACUUCCUCAAGAAGAAAAAAAUAAGUAUAUACAAAUGGGAAAGCUGCAAUCUGAACAAUAUGCCCAAUUAAAAACUGUGGUCCAAUAAAAGCCUCCAAAAGUAAAAAUUCAAACCCGAAUUGAGCUUACAUCAAUUUGUAAGAUUAUUAGAAGGUUGGACAAAGCACAACAACAAGCAGUGAGUGAUAUGGGGUUUCAUGGCAUCCUAAGCCUUAGGUGCACGCACAUAGAUCAUGACUUGUGUCAUUGGUUAGUUCAGAACUUUGAUCCUUCAACUCAUUCAUUGAAUGUCCACGGUCUUCGAAUGCUU